UGCUCGGUUUGAAGACUUGCCAGCUGGGUGAAGAAGCUUUCUGACAAACAUCCAAAUCACUCUAAUAGGCCCAAGUUGAGCAUAUGUUAGAUGGUCUGGAUGACAUGGAUGGUGCCGAGGAUGUCCCUUUUGAUGAGCUCAUAGGCAUGCAAGGCUUAGUAUUUCACUUGGUUGAGAAUGCAAUUACAAUAUGUAUUACAUACAAGUCUGAUGGAUUCAAGAGAAUGAAGAGUAAAUAAUACUAUACUAUAAAUACGUCAACUACAGAUAACCCUUCCAACUACAAUGUUGCACCUGACAACCUCCUACUCAACGAGGCCAAGCUAUCUGCAGGGGACCAUGCCCCUGGACGUUCCUAAGAGGUGUGCUGCUAGAUGACCUUCUUGCUGCUGAAACAACAAAUGCUUGUAACUGCAGCUCCUGCUAACAUGCAAGCUGGAUGAGCACCGGGU
This is a long non-coding RNA of Triticum dicoccoides, 452 nucleotides long. RefSeq lists it as uncharacterized. The record is from RefSeq and is a predicted model, not a curated record. Lineage: Eukaryota; Viridiplantae; Streptophyta; Magnoliopsida; Poales; Poaceae. The transcript has 3 exons.